UACGAAGGGGGCUAGCGUUGCUCGGAAUUACUGGGCGUAAAGCGCACGUAGGCGGCUCGGUAAGUCCGCUGUGAAAGUCGGGGGCUCAACCCUCGGAUGCCGGUGGAUACUGUCGGACUAGAGUACGGAAGAGGCGAGUGGAAUUCCUGGUGUAGCGGUGAAAUGCGCAGAUAUCAGGAGGAACACCGAUUGCGAAGGCAGCUCGCUGGGACGUUACUGACGCUGAGACGCGAAAGCGUGGGGAGCAAACAGG
This 253-nucleotide ribosomal RNA is filed under the name uncultured bacterium. RNAcentral describes it as "partial 16S ribosomal RNA". It matches the Rfam family "Bacterial small subunit ribosomal RNA", at positions 524 to 776 of the family's 1533-position model. The record is from RNAcentral.